RNAcentral lists this non-coding RNA (23 nucleotides) under Cricetulus griseus (Chinese hamster). Lineage: Eukaryota; Metazoa; Chordata; Mammalia; Rodentia; Cricetidae. The record is from RNAcentral.
GUACUGGAGAAAGAGCUGGGAGU